GAUCAUGGCUCAGGAUAAACGCUGGCGGCGCACAUAAGACAUGCAAGUCGAACGGACUUAAUCGAUUCUUUUAGAUUCGAAGCGGUUAGUGGCGGACUGGUGAGUAACACGUAAGCAACCUGCCUGUUAGGAGGGGAAUAACAGUGAGAAAUCACUGCUAAAACCGCAUAUGCCGUGAACAUCGCAUGAUGAAAACGGGAAAGGGCAAUCUGCUAAUAGAUGGGCUUGCGU
RNAcentral lists this ribosomal RNA (231 nucleotides) under uncultured bacterium. Its description in RNAcentral is "partial 16S ribosomal RNA". It matches the Rfam family "Bacterial small subunit ribosomal RNA", at positions 15 to 236 of the family's 1533-position model. The record is from RNAcentral.